RNAcentral lists this ribosomal RNA (385 nucleotides) under uncultured bacterium. Its description in RNAcentral is "bacterial SSU rRNA". It matches the Rfam family "Bacterial small subunit ribosomal RNA", at positions 423 to 793 of the family's 1533-position model. The record is from RNAcentral.
UUGUAAAGUACUUUCAGCAGUGAGGAAGGUGGGUAUGUUAAUAGCAUACUCAUUUGACGUUAGCUGCAGAAGAAGCACCGGCUAACUCCGUGCCAGCAGCCGCGGUAAUACGGAGGGUGCGAGCGUUAAUCGGAAUUACUGGGCGUAAAGCGCAUGCAGGUGGUUUGUUUAAGUCAGAUGUGAAAGUACCCCGGGGCCGUUCAACCUCGGAAUUGCAUUUGAAACUGGCAAACUAGAGUACUGUAGAGGGGGUAGAAUUUCAGGUGUAGCGGUGAAAUGCGUAGAGAUCUGAAGGAAUACCGGUGGCGAAGGCGGCCCCCUGGACAGAUACUGACACUCAGAUUGCGAAAGCGUGGGGAGCAAACAGGAUUAGAUACCCUGGUAG